AAGCGCCGUAUACGGAACCGUACGUACGGUGCUGUGGGAGGUCGGUAGAUAAAAUAAUUAUCUACCUCCUACCCGAU
Molecule: non-coding RNA, 77 nt
Filed under: Lachnobacterium bovis DSM 14045
Lineage: Bacteria; Bacillati; Bacillota; Clostridia; Lachnospirales; Lachnospiraceae
Source: RNAcentral